Molecule: ribosomal RNA, 253 nt
Filed under: uncultured bacterium
Lineage: Bacteria
Description: partial 16S ribosomal RNA
Rfam family: Bacterial small subunit ribosomal RNA
Source: RNAcentral
UACGGAGGGAGCUAGCGUGGUUCGGAAUUACUGGGCGUAAAGCGCACGUAGGCGGCUAUUCAAGUCGGGGGUGAAAGCCCGGGGCUCAACCCCGGAACAGCCCUCGAAACUAGAUAGCUAGAAUCUUAGAGAGGCGAGUGGAAUUCCGAGUGUAGAGGUGAAAUUCGUAGAUAUUCGGAAGAACACCAGUGGCGAAGGCGACUCGCUGGACAAGUAUUGACGCUGAGGUGCGAAAGCGUGGGGAGCAAACAGG